Molecule: long non-coding RNA, 2588 nt
Filed under: Homo sapiens (human)
Lineage: Eukaryota; Metazoa; Chordata; Mammalia; Primates; Hominidae
Description: HSALNT0335814
Source: RNAcentral
GUUUAACGGCCGGUCAGGAACCCAACAAUUAGUCCCUUCUCGUCCGAGAGGAAACUCUGUGAGAAGAUGGGACCGUGAGCACUCUCUUUAACAAGGACAUUUCCUUUUCAGCGAAAGCAGCGCUCUGAUUUACCAAGUCUGGCGGACCGCAGCGCUUUAAAGGAAUGAGGUUCCAGCGGUCGCGCCAAGCAGCGUACGCAGCCUAUUUUAAGUUAUGCUACCUUCGCCACAGAAACCAAGAACGUUGUAAUGGUCCGGCAAGUGCCCACGUAUAAUUGUUCUCCAUCACUUACCCACUCUAGUUCGGGAACACCCUUGUCGCCGCCGUUCCGGUAACACCUCUCCAACGCUUUCGAUGCUUCUACUUCUUCGGGAACAAGACAAGAUGGCGCCCGAUUUGUCUCACCCGGAAGUAAAGAAUAAUAACAUCCGUUUGUCAUCUGAAGCCAUACCAUCUCUCAUCCAGGUUUGUGAACACGUGAUUGUGCGGAUUGACAUGUUUCGGCGCCAUUUUUUUUGUGGGCAAAACCAUCUCUACUCUGGUCAACACCGGGCAACUGAACCAUUCCUGCACGUUACUUUUUAACGUAGCUGGCGCCAUUCCCGACCCAUCUUUAUAGUGGCCAGAAAGCCAAGAACGUAAGUGUUCUACACAUAGGGCGCCUUCAAAUUUUUUACUUUAGCAACGUGAUCUUCCUUUAAGGGGAAGUAUGUUCCCUCCUAGAAACACUCCCGCCUUGGAGAAGGGGUUGAGUUCGCAACUCCACUUACAGACUACGGAGGAACCCCAGGGUCAAACCAAACCAAACCAAUUCUGGCCAGUUGCUUAGCGCAGUUCAAGUUACUUAGUGCGCUGGAAGCGGCAUUUCAGGCAAUCCAACUUCUGGCUCGAACCUUCUCGGAGUAUUCCAAGGAUGGAAUACUCUCACUUGAGCGCUGCCGAGGGUGCCGCUUGAGGAAAACGUGAGUUUGUGAAGAAUGUUUGUUGCAGAUACAGUUCCACCACUGUACAUUAAGUAUGUGGAAAACAGAAGAUAUCCUUUUGGUUCCUGGGUCUCCAGAACAGUAGGAGCAAACAUCCAAAUCUGAUAUAGCACUUCCAGAGAGCCUGGUCUUGGAGGAUAAAACUUUACCUUGAUGGGACUUUUGGCCCCGGUCCCUUAAGAGUUGGGAUUUGGGGUUGUACUGCAGCACAACUCAGCCUAUCCUAAUACAUAUGGGAAUGCAAACAUCUCAGAUAUUUCUUCUUGGGUGCAAUUUAAAAUACGUAUGAAAUGGCUUCAGAAGUGUCCAUGAACCUUCAAAAUUACAUACAAGAAUUAGGGAGAUACAUUUUUCUGGGAACAUACAGAUGUUAAGACUUCCCUUCUCCGUCUCUAUAUUGCCAGAAGAGAGGGCCCCAGAAUUAAAACCCCAUCCUUCCUACAACACUCAGCUUUCUCUUUCAGGAAUAUCAGUACUAAUAUCACCAUGCCUUUUAUCUCUAGGAUAUCUUCAUCCCCUGUACCUUAAUUUCUGCAUGACUUCAUAGGGAGUCCAUAUUGCUUGAUUUUUCUCCAUAUCAUUACCAUUGACAUAAAUUUUCCUUACAUUCUUAGAAUGUGUAUUUCCUCACCUUUUAGAUUUCUGGCUCUUAUGUUGACUGCUGUAUCCCUAGUACCUACCACACAACAGGUAUUCAACAAAUACUUUUUUUUUUUUGAGACAGUCUCUGUCACCCAGGCUGGAGUGCAGUGGUACUAUCUUGGCUCAGUGCAACCUCUGCCUCCCGGGUUCAAGCGAUUCUCCUGCCUCAGCCUCCCAAGUAGCAGGGAUUACAGGCCUGUGCCACCAUGCCCAGCUAAUUUUUGUAUUUUUAGUAGAGAUGGGUUUUUGUCAUGUUGGCCAGGCUGGUCUCGAACUCCUGGUCUCAGGUGAUUUGCCCACUUUGGCCACCCAAAGUGCUGGGAUUACAGGCAUGAGCCACUGUGCCUGGCCUAAAAAAUACUUACUAAAUGACUAAACAAAUAAAAGAUAGUCUCUAACUUUCAUCAUAAUCUCAAAGAGCUUCAUGAUCUGGAAGAAGUUUAGACACAAAUGGGUAGGCAAAGUAUUUCUUAAUUGCUGGUGCAAGACCUUACCCUUGUCUUAAUAAUUAUCCUGUCUAAGUAAUACACCUUUUAAGAAACCCCUGAAAGGAAGAUGAUCGUCCUUGGUAGAUACUGAAAUCUGAGGUAAAGUGGCCCAUAAACUGUUUUGAAAUAGAGAAUUUCUAAAAUAUGUAGGGUAUUUUGAAUAUAGCUGAGAAAGCUGCUAUGAACUGAAGGUUUACGUCCCCUACAACAUUCACAAAUCCCAAAUGUGAUGGUAUUUGGAGAUAGGGCCUUUGAGAAGUGAUUAGGUCAUGAGGAUGGAACCCUCAUGAAUGGGCUGCAUGGAAAAGGACCCACAGAGAUGCCUUGUACUUUUCCCAUGUGAGGACACAGCAAGAAAGCACUGUCUUUAUGAACAGAAGUGGGCCCUCACCAGACCCCAAGUCUGCUGGCACCUUGAUCUUGAAGUUCCCAGCUCCCAGAACUGUGAGAAAUAAAUUUUUGUUAAUACACCAC